Molecule: ribosomal RNA, 465 nt
Filed under: uncultured bacterium
Lineage: Bacteria
Description: bacterial SSU rRNA
Rfam family: Bacterial small subunit ribosomal RNA
Source: RNAcentral
GGAGGCUUUCAGGGGAUCGCAAGACCUUGCGCUUUUGGAGCGACCGAUGUCUGAUUAGCUAGUUGGUGAGGUAAAGGCUUACCAAGGCGUCGAUCAGUAGCUGGUCUGAGAGGACGACCAGCCACACUGGGACUGAGACACGGCCCAGACUCCUACGGGAGGCAGCAGUGGGGAAUUUUGGACAAUGGGGGAAACCCUGAUCCAGCCAUGCCGCGUGAGUGAAGAAGGCCUUCGGGUUGUAAAGCUCUUUCAGCCGGAACGAAACGGUCACGGUUAAUACCUGUGACUACUGACGGUACCGGAAGAAGAAGCACCGGCUAACUACGUGCCAGCAGCCGCGGUAAUACGUAGGGUGCGAGCGUUAAUCGGAAUUACUGGGCGUAAAGCGUGCGCAGGCGGUUUUGUAAGUCAGAUGUGAAAUCCCCGGGCUUAACCUGGGAACUGCGUUUGAAACUACAAGGCUAG